GUCUCUGUGGCGCAAUUGGUUAGCGCGUUCGGCUGUUAACCGAAAGGUUGCUGGUUCAAGCCCAGCCAGGGGACG
This is a non-coding RNA of Ciona savignyi (Pacific transparent sea squirt), 75 nucleotides long. NCBI's taxonomy places the organism in Eukaryota, Metazoa, Chordata, Ascidiacea, Phlebobranchia, Cionidae. The record is from Rfam.